AUUCCUUAACAUUAUUUGUCUACAGAUUUGCGACCAUAGACUUGGAGAAGGCCACGAAGAAUAUGAGACUUAAGAGGUUGACACCCUGGACAAAUUGAGCCAGACAUUACUUCGAUGCGCAAUGGCCCACAACGUUGAUAAAGUUACCGGAUCGCUGUUGAUAUUUGUUGAACUAAUUUGCGAAUAUAAAGACUUGGAGAAGGCCACGGAGAAUAUGAGACUUAAGAGGUUGACGUCCCGGACAAAUUGAGCCAGACACGACUUCGAUGAGCAAUGGCCCACAACGUUGAAAAAGUUACCAGAUCGCUGUUGAGAAAAUCCGUGAACCUCGUCCGCAGAUUUAUUUAAGGAGACAAGACAGUGUUUCGAGCUGAUAAUAACUUAAUUCAACCAUCGCAAAGACUCUCCCUUUCUCUCCGAAUGACUGGGCAGGAUUGCAGACACGUUGUUGAUUUGCGACCAUAAAGACUUGGAGAAGGCCACGGAGAAUAUGAGACUUAAGAGAUUGACGUCCCGGACAAAUUGAGCCAGACAUUACUUCGAUGCGCAAUGGCCCACAACGUUGAUAAAGUUACUGGAUCGCUGUUGAUAUUUGUUGAACUAAUUUGCGAAUAUAAAGACUUGGAGAAGGCCACGAAGAAUAUGAGACUUAAGAGGUUGACGUCCCGGACAAAUUGAGCCAGACACGACUUCGAUGAGCAAUGGCCCACAACGUUGAAAAAGUUACCAGAUCGCUGUUGAGAAAAUCCGUGAACCUUGUCCGCAGAUUUAUAUAAGGAGACAAGACAGUGUUUCGAGCUGAUAAUAACCUAAUUCAACCAUCGCAAAGACUCUCCCUUUCUCUCCGAAUGACUGGGCAGGAUUGCAGACACGUUGUUGAUUUGCGAAUAUAAAGACUUGGAGAAGGCCACGGAGAAUAUGAGACUUAAGAGGUUGACGUCCCGGACAUAUUGAGCCAGACAUUACUUCGAUGCGCAAUGGCCCACAACGUUGAUAAAGUUACUGGAUCGCUGUUGAGAAAAUCCGUGAACCUCGUCCGCAGAUUUAUUUAAGGAGACAAGACAGUAUUUCGAGCUGAUAAUAACCUAAUUCAACCAUCGCAAAGACUCUACCUUUCUCUCCGAAUGACUGGGCAGGAUUGCAGACACGUUGUUGAUUUGCGACCAUAGACUUGGAGAAGGCCACGAAGAAUAUGAGACUUAAGAGGUUGACACCCUGGACAAAUUGAGCCAGACAUUACUUCUAUGCGCAAUGGCUCAUGGCUUUAAUAAAGUUACCGGAUCGUUGUUGAGCAAUGACGUAGAUUCAAAUUUAAGCAACAUAGACAGAAUGUUAUCGUUUGCAUAUUAUGUAAUCGUAAGCUCUUCAAUCUGUCUGAUUUAGUGGUUUUUUUUGGUUAAGAUGAUCCACGUAUUUAAAAUCGUAGUCGUGGCUUUCGCCGACUUCGUUUUCGACAUGGAAACUCUUUUCGGAUUCGUCGUCGUACAUGGACAUCGUUCUGCGCACUCGCACACAAACACAAUCGCUUGGAUAGAAAAAUAUUUACUUUUGAAAAGCACAAAUUAAAUUGCGCAUUUUAUGAUAGAUUAAUAAUAAAAUCGAACUAUCACCA
Trichogramma pretiosum is the source of this 1612-nucleotide long non-coding RNA. RefSeq lists it as uncharacterized. NCBI's taxonomy places the organism in Eukaryota, Metazoa, Arthropoda, Insecta, Hymenoptera, Trichogrammatidae. The transcript has 9 exons. The record is from RefSeq and is a predicted model, not a curated record.